UGGUGCCAGCAGCCGCGGUAAUUCCAGCUCCAAUAGCGUAUAUUAAAGUUGUUGCAGUUAAAAAGCUCGUAGUUGAAUUUCGGGGUUAGUAGAUUGGUCAUGCCUCUGGUAUGCACUGGUCUCACUGAUUCCUCCUUCCUGAUGAGCCGUAAUGCCAUUAAUUUGGUGUUGCGGGGAAUUUGGACUGUUACUUUGAAAAAAUUAGAGUGUUUAAAGCAAGCUAACGCUUGAAUACAUUAGCAUGGAAUAAUGAAAUAGGACGUUCGAUCCUAUUUUGUUGGUUUCUAGGAUUGACGUAAUGAUUAAUAGGGAUAGUUGGGGGCAUUAGUAUUCAAUUGUCAGAGGUGAAAUUCUUGGAUUUAUUGAAGACUAACUACUGCGAAAGCAUUUGCCAAGGAUGUUUUCAUUAAUCAAGAACGAAAGUUAGGGGAUCGAAGACGAUCAGAUACCGUCGUAGUCUUAACCAUAAACUAUGCCGACUAGGGAUCGGAUGAUGUUAAUUUUUUAAUGACUCA
Molecule: ribosomal RNA, 515 nt
Filed under: uncultured Glomus
Lineage: Eukaryota; Fungi; Glomeromycota; Glomeromycetes; Glomerales; Glomeraceae
Description: SSU rRNA
Rfam family: Eukaryotic small subunit ribosomal RNA
Source: RNAcentral